This 253-nucleotide ribosomal RNA is filed under the name uncultured bacterium. RNAcentral's name for it is "partial 16S ribosomal RNA". It matches the Rfam family "Bacterial small subunit ribosomal RNA", at positions 524 to 776 of the family's 1533-position model. The record is from RNAcentral.
UACGUAGGUGGCAAGCGUUGUCCGGAAUUAUUGGGCGUAAAGCGCGCGUAGGCGGUUACUCAAGUCGGAUGUGAAAGCCCUCGGCUUAACUGAGGAAGUGCACCCGAAACUGAGUAGCUAGAGUACUAAAGAGGGUCGCGGAAUUCCCGGUGUAGAGGUGAAAUUCGUAGAUAUCGGGAGGAACACCGGUGGCGAAGGCGGCAUCCUGGACCGACACUGACACUGAGGAGCGAAAGCCAGGGGAGCAAACGGG